This 460-nucleotide ribosomal RNA is filed under the name uncultured bacterium. Its description in RNAcentral is "partial 16S ribosomal RNA". It matches the Rfam family "Bacterial small subunit ribosomal RNA", at positions 338 to 795 of the family's 1533-position model. The record is from RNAcentral.
CCUACGGGAGACAGCAGUGAGGAAUAUUGGUCAAUGGACGAGAGUCUGAACCAGCCAAGUAGCGUGAAGGAUGACUGCCCUAUGGGUUGUAAACUUCUUUUAUAUGGGAAUAAAACGUUCCACGUGUGGGAUUUUGUAUGUACCAUAUGAAUAAGGAUCGGCUAACUCCGUGCCAGCAGCCGCGGUAAUACGGAGGAUCCGAGCGUUAUCCGGAUUUUUUGGGUUUAAAGGGAGCGUAGGUGGAUUGUUAAGUCAGUUGUGAAAGUUUGCGGCUCAACCGUAAAAUUGCAGUUGAAACUGGCAGUCUUGAGUACAGUAGAGGUGGGCGGAAUUCGUGGUGUAGCGGUGAAAUGCUUAGAUAUCACGAAUAACUCCGAUUGCGAAGGCAGCUCACUGGACUGCAACUGACACUGAGGCUCGAAAGUGUGGGUAUCAAACAGGAUUAGAUACCCUUGUAGUC